AAGCAAGAAGCAAAUAUUGCAAUCAGUUUCGACCUGAUCUUAGAUAAUCACAUUAUCCUCGCUUU
RNAcentral lists this transfer RNA (65 nucleotides) under Constrictotermes cavifrons. Its description in RNAcentral is "tRNA-Arg". The record is from RNAcentral. Lineage: Eukaryota; Metazoa; Arthropoda; Insecta; Blattodea; Termitidae.